UAGGAGCACUGUUAAAAGAGAUUGGAGAUUUUGGAAAUCCAGAUUGGGUAGUGUGCAUUGAAGCUUUUCCAGUUGCCAUAGGCUUUAAUUUAAAACCCAUGAUGUGAUGGAUUUAAUUAAAUGAUUUAAUGUGGUUUGCUCAGUUGGAGCAAAAUCAAAUACAACUCAAUCUAGAGGGCUUUCAAAAGGUAAAUCCGAUUAGGGAGUGGGUGUGGUUGGUGGUCUGCAAACUGGCCUGAACUGUGAUCCUGAGAAUUAUAUUCCCAGUUUUUCACCUUUGGACUUGGGAGAGAUUGCCGGUAGAGUAAGCUGACCUCAUAUGCUUUGGUAUUUUGAAAGGUUUAUCUCCAAGGCCACUCAGGGCAAAAAUUUUGGAAGAUCAAACAAAGGAGCUUAAAGGAUUUCUAGACCGGAUGUGUUUCCCUGCCCAAAUGGAGUUGUGACUGCCUCCAACUUGUAGCAGACUAACACGCAGUUGUUUUUUUUCCAUCAUUGAUCCUUUGCCCUUUACUCACAGCUGGAGUGUCAGCAUCAGGAUGCACAAUGAAAAUGGACCACGAUUAGUGAUCCCAUUUGUAAAUACAACAUUUUCACAUUUUUUAGAUUAUCUUUU
This 613-nucleotide long non-coding RNA is filed under the name Bos taurus (domestic cattle). RNAcentral describes it as "long non-coding RNA NONBTAT017681". The record is from RNAcentral. Lineage: Eukaryota; Metazoa; Chordata; Mammalia; Artiodactyla; Bovidae.